Molecule: long non-coding RNA, 8396 nt
Organism: Passer domesticus (house sparrow)
Lineage: Eukaryota; Metazoa; Chordata; Aves; Passeriformes; Passeridae
Exons: 5
Source: RefSeq, a predicted model, not a curated record
GCCGGGCCGGGCCGGGCCGCGCCUCCGCCGCGGCAGCGCUCGGCGCUCCGUGUGGGGCCGCGCUGCCCGCAAACUUGGAGCCUGUGUGUCGACGGUGGCGUUUAGUGCGAUACCAAGCAAUGGGGGUGCAAAUACUACUUAGAUCAAAAGCCAUUUUUGCCCAUGCUGUGGGGCAGGCAGUUCCUGCCCAGGAGGAUUCCUGCAGCAUCUCUGCAUCUCCAGGCUGCUUCAGCUGCAGCUCUUGAGCCUCAUCCUUGCACCUUCCCUAGGUGCUGCAAGAGGAGUGAGGAUUUAUCAGUGAAUUCCCCCUGGAGCAGAAGAUAGAGCUAAUGUAGCCUUUCAGAACCGAAAUCCAGGAUGACAUAUGCAAACAAGCAGCUUCACAGAUACACACAUUCCUGUUUUGUCCUGCAUCCUGAAUGCUGCCAGUCAGGAAUCAAAUGCCAAUUCUGACGCUCUGAAAUUAUUUGAGGAGGGAAAUCCAGCCCACAGUUGUCCCAUUGCUAUGCAAUGUACAGAAGGAAUCAUCUGAUGUAUAUGGUCCGAGUCGACUCUGGGCUGUUUUGCUCCAGCAGACACUCUGACAGCCAUCUUCAUCGGCCAGUAGAUGUCAUUGUGUUUCCACCGCAGAAGCACAUCAAACAUAUUCAUCUGGCUGCAAAUGCCUGUCUGGUCCUGCAAACAAUACUGUUGAGUAUUUAGGAUUUUCUCUACCCUGCAGCAAAAUAUUUGUUAAAAAUUCUUAGCCAGAAAAGAGUGAAAAUUAAGUUCCAAGCAUUUGAUAGCUGUGACUAACUAGCCAGAAUACCCUUGGCUUCAGCUAAUGUAGUGCCAAUGGUGUUAUACAAACACAGCUUACUCAAUAGGACACAAAUCAUUGUUAAUAAACUAUUACAAAAGAUGCCAACAGAAGAAGAUAGAAAUAAUGUCUCAUGGAUUAGCCAGCUUCUUUAGGCAACCAGCUCAUUCUGCUGUGAGGUCAUCUGUUCUUCAAUACUCAGACAGGAUUGAGAAUUUAUACUUCAGAACUUUUUAGACCUUUAGAGUGUAAUGAAGAGAAGCUGUAGUCUGUUAUUUUUCAGUUAUUUUAUUCUGGACUAUGUUAACAGGUUCCAAAUUUUCAUUAUAUAAUAUUUGUGAUGUAAUUAGAAAGUUCCAUUUGAAGUCAAAACUUGGUAGCAAUAAAGAAGGAAACACUUGGCAGUGGUACAAGAGGUAGGGUUUUCCAAAAAGUCUGACAUAUUUUUUAUCAGUAAGAACUCAAGAGAAAUCAUUUAACCAUCAUCUUGCAACAUCCAUGCUGGAAAUAGCACGGAGGGCCAAAUUCCCUGCUGGCAGGAACCCUGAUGGCUCUAACAACACAGGAGACCCUUGACAGAUUCAGCAGAGAACUGGUGUUUUGCAGCGUGUUUUGAGUCCCAGGGGCCAGUGUGAAACUGAGUGAAGUCAAUGGAAAUCUUUUGCUUUUUGGCAAUGGGCUAUGGAUGAAGCCAUGAAUCAGGUUUUCUGCAGGCUGGUGGUGCACAUCUGUCUUGGGGUGAGGCAGCUGAAAGGCAUAGACUUGGAUUUGAAAGGACAAGCUUCAUUUCACUCAGGCUCCACUAGCUCAGGAAUAACUUGAGAUGGCACAAGAGAAACUGUUCCUCCCUUAGAGUGGCUCAUCCUCUUGCUUGAUCAUGGAAACAUCUAAAACUCUUCCUGGACUGGGAGACUUCUGAGAUAUUCAGGCAGAUUAAAACUCUCCUGGAAAUCUCUGAAGGUGCUGCUGAUUUCAACUAAAAAACAGGUAUUUUCAAUUUUGACAAAAUAUUUUUAUUUUACUAGGAAUAGAUCAUUAGGCUAUCAUUUAUGUAAAAUAUGCUCACCAAAGUAGUAAAGAAAGUGGAAAAUCAUUAUUCACAUUAUGGUAGGAUGGGGAUCUGUUUUAAAAUUUUUCUAUUAAAAUUUUGAUUUCUUCAAGAAUGUCUUUUUUUACCCCCUUGUAUGAGCAGGAUUUCACUCAAAGAAAUCCUCCAACAUCUUAUGUACAUUUUAAAAGUAUGUCCAUUGCUGUGUCAAAUGUGUCUCACUGGAAAAAGCUACUGACUUUUCCAUUCUAUUUCUUUAAUUUUACUACUCUUGUGUGUUGGAAUACUCCAGGUAGGUGCUGUGUAUGCUUUUGAUUAUGCUGUGUUACACAGCAGGGAAACCUCUUAUCUCAGACUGGUUGCCUGGUUGAGGGAAAAAAAAACACAUUUAAGGUUGUAAACACAGCUGUGGAAGAAAUAUUUUCUAUUUCCUUGAUGUUUGUUUUAAUGUACUAAAAAGACAUAAUUACAGGAGUUUGCAAAAAUACCAAAGUGUAAAACACAAUAGUAGGUUGGUUAUGUGUUUCUAUUAUAUGUCUAUAUGUCUUCAGAUGUAGCUUUAAACAGUCCAAGAAAAUCUUUAGAAAUGUCUUCUCUACUUUACACUCUGAUUUGCCCUCAUAAAUAAAGUACAGAAUUUUCAGAAAAAAAAAAAAUUUAAAGUAAUCUCAUAGCUACACUGGUAUUAAGAAGUGUUCAAAUCUUGUUCUUACUAUUUUUCAUGCCAGCUUGAAGAUUUGUGUUUCUAUUGUUUCCUUUUUGACUCUGUGCAAAUACUUUAAAGAUAGGAAAUUUGCAGAUCUGUGGAAAAAAGAAAAAGAAUAGAGGUUUUGUAAAUCUAACCACUGCAACUUCAUUUGAAGAAAAUGAAAUCUGAACUCUGAAAGAGGACAAUGCCUUUUUUUUCUUCAGCUUGCAAAGAAGUAGAGUAAUGCAAUCCCUUUUAUUUCCUAUUUAAAUAAAGGCAGAAGCGUUUUCAUCUGUGGCGUGUAAAGUCUGCUCUGCAAAGAAUAAGUUCAGAGCACACACAUUGUAAGUAUUUGCCAAGAGCACUGGGUUUAUAUUGGUUGAGUAAACAGCACUAUAAUAUUACAAUUAUAAAAACAAAAUGUGCAGAAAAAUGUGAUUCUCACUCUUUUGUUAACACUCUAUUAGCUCCUGAAGUCCUAGUGAGAAAAGAUUAAAUGUGAAGCCCUCAGUAAAGAGCUCUGCUCCAUUCAAGCUGCAACACCACCAAUUACUUCACCGAAAAAAGAACUAGACUUGAUAGAGAACUUCAGUCCAAAUCCUGUUCACGAACACCUGAAGCCAUCUCCCCUGAAGUCCUAUGUAAAAUAACAUUAAUGACAUCCUGGUCACUUCAGUCUAUGGAAGAUUUCACCUUUUAUAUCACAGUGUAAAAGCAAACAAAGGGCUGCAUACAGUUCUUUUGACUGUGGCUGGAAAGACUCACACUGGCAGCAGUGCGCAUUUGGAUGACACUGUACCAUCCUUUCACUCCACCCACAACUAUUAUUUCGUUGCCCAGAAUUGUUGUAAUAUGACUGCUUCCCUUCAUAAUCUCUGCAUUUUAUCUAGCUUCUUUUCCAAAGCCAGAGAGGAUAAUUGUCAUCUUUUGUAUAACACAGCAGAAAGGCUGAGGACAGGCUUAAGGGCAAUGGCUUUCUCAGUCUAUCCCUACCUUGUCUAGACUGCAAGUUCACUGAGGCAGAGAGCAACAGCAAGCAUGACAAGGUUUUCUCAGCUGCCUAAAUACAGUAACAGUGCCAGAGGAAGAAAAGAUUUUGUGUCCAUCCUAUCACAAUGGAGUCCUCCAGCAAAAUGGGAUGGAGAGAGGACAGCUGAGAGCCAAGCACAAGAGAUGAAAUGAGUAGGGUAAGGCAGAAUCUACAGCUUUGAGGUUCCAGGUAUUGAACCUGGAGAGGAAACAUAGGCACACAAAGCUUCCAUCCCACUGAAGCCAGUGGAAACCCUUUCCCUUGGUUUAGCAGGACAUGGAUCAUGGUGGUGGUUUGUGCCAGGUGGGUUCCCUGUGGAGAUCAGGGGAAAAGGAAGAUGAGGCCAUGCACACUGUGUUGGAAAGGGCUGUAGGGUUAACUGCUGUUCUUUCACGUGAUGAAAAGUCCUAAAGCCAGGCAUCAUCACACACACACCAUUUCUAAUGCAGAAUCAUUCUGAAAUCAGGGUGAUGCGAUGUUGUUUGGCAGCAUGGGAGGAAAAAAGUGGAACUUUUUAUGAAACUGACAAAAAGAUCUGAAGCCCAGAAGGGAACACAGCAAUCAUUUGCUCUGAUUUCCUGUACAGCAUAAGCCAUACAACCUUGUUUGGUCAUGUCUCCAUCAUUCUUUCUUCUGCUUGAUCCAAAGAUCUCACUUGGAAAAGGAGGCGUCUUCAUGAAAAAGUAUGAGUCAUGCAGAAGCAACCAUAACCUUUUGGACUUCUUUUCAAAAAUUAAUUUAUGCUCUUUGAAAGAAAGAAAAAUUGUAAAACAUGUAUUAUUUCUAAUCCAAAUGCAUUUUCACUUAAAUAUCUUUAAUGAAAAUUCUUUUCCUUCUGUAGGUAUCCACCCAGGUGAUACUUUUCCUCAAAAUAUGUGCUUGCAUAUUCAAAAUCUGUCUCUGAAGAAAACCACCUUAUUUCUCAUUCCCAAACCAAGGCACUUUCUUAAAAAUACAAGAAUGAGCAGGCUUGUAGAAGCCCAAAUUAUACAGCCCCAAGAGCUAUUUUUCAGUCACUGACUAGAGAACAUUGUGAUAAAGAAAUCUUAGCUGAAGAAGAAAAUAACCUCCAUUUUUCCAAUAAAUUAAGAUCUUCACAGGAAUGUAAAAUGAAUCUUAAAGCGGAGCAUCUUGAUGUUUCUUGCAGCAGGCCCUCUUUCAAGGACAAAGAUGUAAUUCAAAGAUGAAAAAAUGAAUACCAGAAAAAGAAAAGUCUUUUCCUCCAUGCUUAUAAAUAUGGUGGUGACCUUACAGAGCCCCUUGAAGAGACAGCACUGACAACACAGCCAGUGACAUCCAACUUCCCUGCAGGGCUGCUGGCAGCUGCAGACUGGAUUGUGAAAGAUGAAAGAGAAGAAGGUCCCCCUGUACCACAUAGGGAACUUUUAGGAGACCAAAUUUGAAUUAUGGUAGUGUAUGUUUCAGUGAAGAACAUAAAACCUAAGGCAGGAGAUGGGAUGAAAUUAAAUAAAAUAAUGUUACCCUGAAUUUACAUGGGGAAAGCCAAGCAUAUACUUACUUUAGAAGUAUUAUUAAAAAGGCAAAGCUAUAGCUGAAGAUCUGAGCACAACAUGGGUUUUAUGACAGAUGCAUGUUAUUAAGUCAUUUCCUAGAUCUAUUUCACUGCUAUCAAUAUCUACUAUUGGUGAGUACAUAUUGAUAAACUUAAUAGGUAAGGCCAGGCAAACCAUGUAAGGCAUAAGUAAUAGGGACAGAACCAUAUGACAAGACAUGUGCAUUUGCCAUUUUAAUCUUUAACCUGCAAGGUGUCCUUGUCCCUUGUUCAGUGUCCCUUCUCAUAUUCACUGCUCCUGCCGUUUAAUUGCUGUUGUUAAUUUCUUCAUGGAUUUGUGUAUGGUCUAACACUGCCUGACUUGAGCUGAUUGCACAGACAUUAGCUAAGCAGGAGUUUUCGAGAUUUUUUUCUAAGGCUGCCAUCAUCUGCAAAUCCUUCAAGGUCUAAAUUAUAAAAGUUUGGCUGACCUCUGUAGGAAAACAACAUAUUAGAUCAUUAUAAAAAGAGCAAAAGGAAAAUUGCAAGCUUAAUUCCUGAGACUUGUAAGUUAAAAUCCACAAGGGCCCGGAGGCAGCCUUCCCUGAGCCCCUCAGCCAGCAGCCCUACCCUGCCCUGCCCCGCUGAAAGCACACCAAAGGGCCUGAAGAGCUGUGCCUCGAAUUCUUUGAGCAGUCAUCUUUUAACAGGGAUGUCAGAGGUGUAGGAAAGCAUUCCUGUGGCAUUGGGAUGCAAAGGGAUUUAUCUCCCAUCUGAAGUCCUGCAGAGAGGCAGCAACAACCCUGCUCCUGUCUGAGAGGCUGACAAGUGAGUUACAGCUGAAGGAGAUGUGACAGGCGAGAGAGAAUAAGCAGAGUGAAUGCCUGUGCUGGAGAUGAAUCAACCCUCUUCCUCGAGGAGCAACUGCCUUUGGCUACCCAGAGCUAAAAGCUACAGUAAUAAAUUUUAAGGCCUGAAAAGAUCAUUACAGUCAUCCAGCCCAGCUGCCCACUCAUCCAGGAUGCUGAAUUUCCUGAAGUCGUUCAUGCCUGCCCCUCCUGCUGCCACAGCUGAGGUCCUUUCCUCCUCUGCUCUUGGAGGCCCUUCCCAGUAUGUCACUGCCAUCACUGUCUGCCGUGCCAGAUGUCUGCUGUGCCCUCCCUGUGGCACCGCCUCUGGGCAGCAAGAGCAGCUAGAGCAAAUAUUUUAUGUAGUGUUUCUGGCAAAGAGAGGUUUUUCAUUCAGCUCUCCAGUGGUGCUGGCUCAUGCUCUGCAUCAGAGCUGCAGCUCCAGCAGCAGCUCAGCCCAGGCAGCUCCAGAUCCAUGCUCAAACAUCUGUUAUGGAAACUCCAGGCAACUGCACAAGGAGCCUUGAUUCUGCAGCUCUCACUGCUGACCCAAACUGCAGAUCUAGAGAGGGCUUCACCUGGCUUGUGUCUUGACUUUCUUUGAAACCACUGGGCCUCACAUCAGUUGAAGCACCUACAGUUCUUGGAAUAACAACGUCCAUCUACCUGAGGAGCAGGCAGGUAGAAGAACAACUCCGUUGGGAGAAGUUGGGGUUUCUGAUGAUGGUUCUCUGCUGGCCUCCAUGGCCUUAGAAAGAGGCCAGUGUUACAUUGCAAUGGAAGCAUAUGGGCUGGAAAUGGGAAAAAAAGGACUAGGAAAGACUUUUCCUGAAACAUCUUGCCCAGCCCAGGGCACAUCUCCAUAUUUGUUGAGAUGGCUCACAUCCAUGUAGAGCAAUGAAUGGAAAAAUAAUGUGAGUUCCCCAUCUGCUCCAUAAGCUUAUGUGGACAGAGCUCCAAAACAUAAAAAAUGGUUGAGUUCACUAAAUAUUUCUCUUUCUGGAGGAGCAGGUCAUGACUCAGCUGGGACUGUGAGGCAAUGCCCUGCCUUGGGAAGGUUGUGAUGCAUCAAGAAACAGCUCAGCAACCCCUCAGCAACCCUGGAAGGCAUGCCCUGAGAAAGGAGGGAAGAGGGCAUGCAGGCAGGAAUCUUUUAACGUCAUCUUGUCCCCUGCAUUUUGCUCAGCCUGCUGCAGCUGACCUUAAAAGGAAGCCCUAUCUCCCCUCUUCACUCACGCUGGUGCAGUUUGGGGGAAAUAGGUGCAAGUGUACUCUUCUUCUGUCAGAUCCUUGGCAACUGAAAGAGACAGUAACAGGUUGCCCUAAAAAGCAAAUUCUAAUUCCUAACAUUGUAUGUCGUGGUUUUUAUGUGCUGUGCAAUUUACAGGCUGGACAAGCGAGGCCAGCAGAGCCUAGUCUGUGGCCAAGCCUGGCAGUGAAUCCAUCAGCCAUGGAAAUGCCAAAGUGACAGGUUCACUUCAUUAGCUGGAGGCCCAGUGAUUCUUGGGCAUAAGAAACUGGAAGAGAAAAGCUGUUCCGGGGAUGGGAAAUUACCCUUUUGGAUGGAUGGCCCUUUUGGAUGGAGGACUAAAACAGUGCCUGCACCAGCGUUUGAGGGACCACGCAGGCUUUGAUCCCAAGUUCACAUGUGCAUCCUUCCAUAAAGACAAAUGGUGACCUUCACGUGAGCACAGAUAUCCUUUCCUUUAGGAGUGACUUCAGUUCUCCAAAGCAGAGCAUGUCAUGCCUACGUGGAGACAUGCUCAUUUUCCUCUCCCUGAACCAGCUGUGCCCAAUGCCAAAGGCUCUUCAGAAAGCUACUGAAAUGUGACCAAAAAGUCUUAGAUGCAAGUUAGACCUUCCUUGAGUUUUCCAUCAGGUUUAUUUCUCCUUCCCUGCUUGCAAUUGCUGCUUUCCAAAAUCCUUUCCUGCAUUUCUCCCUUUCUUGCUGUCUUGUGAACAUUCUUCUGGGCAGUUCACUAGCCCUCUCCACUGGAUCCUCAAUAGCUUUUGCCCAUACUGAACAUUUCAAGCAUUUUUACUUUGCAGCAGAUUUUUUUUUUGCCUUGGGUGAGAAUACAAGGACUUUCAGUCCCUUUGCCUUUCCAUUCUGAAAACAUCCCCCGUAGGUAAACAAAUCCUAAGCCUAAGAUGAGGAAAGUCCUCAGUUGCAGAAGUUGUUGAAUGGCAAUCACCAUUUUCUGAUGCUGUAAAACAAGAGUUAAUCUGUGUUUCCACUGCGGAGGGCUGUUUGGGGCUUUUUUUUUUUUAAGGAAGGGAAAAAAUUUCCUUUCAUUCUUUGCCAGCAAUUUCCAUGCAAAUAAAGUUUCCCAGCAAAAACUCGGUGCCCAAGAGAGAAUAUUUUAUCCAGAAAGUGAAAGAUUUUCUGCGAACAAUUGCAAGAUUUUAUCCAAAACUCUGAGAGGCUCAUCCGAAAUAUUUCUCUCGUUGGCCGGAAACAAAGCGCUGCAGAGCGAGAGGGGACGGAGGG